Molecule: ribosomal RNA, 442 nt
Filed under: uncultured bacterium
Lineage: Bacteria
Description: partial 16S ribosomal RNA
Rfam family: Bacterial small subunit ribosomal RNA
Source: RNAcentral
AUGAACGCUGGCGGCAUGCCUAACACAUGCAAGUCGAUCGGUAAGGCUCUUCGGAGUACACGAGAGGCGGACGGCUGAGUAACGCGUAGGAACACACCCUGCAGUGAGGGAUAAGACACCGAAAGGUGUUCUAAUACCGCAUACGGUCUUCGGAUUAAAGCAUUUAUGCGCUGAAGGAGUGGCCUGCGUCAUAUUAGAUAGUUGGUGAGGUAAUGGCUCACCAAGUCGAUGAUGUGUAGCUGGUCUGAGAGGAUGAUCAGCCAGACUGGAACUGAGACACGGUCCAGUCUCCUACGGGAGGCAGCAGUGAGGAAUAUUUCACAAUGAGCGAAAGCUUGAUGGAGCAAUGCCGCGUGCAGGAUGAAGGCCCUCGGGUUGUAAACUGCUUUUAUAAGAGAAGAUUAUGACGGUAACUUAUGAAUAAGGGACGGCUAACUACGUG